UUCAUUCUAAGAAUUUGUACUUCGGCAUUCAUCUUGCUUGAGACUUGGGCAUGCAACAUUAUUCCUGUGUAGUAUUAAUGAUCUCACGAUCGUUCAUAAAACUUGCAUCUCAUUUUGAUAGGUACUUAACACUACCACAUUCAUCCUGUUUUAAUUCAAUAUUCUAUACAACAACAACAACAGCCCAGUGAAAUCCCACAUCUUGGGGUCUGGGGAGGGUAUAAUGUACGCAGACCUUACUCCUACCAAGGUAGGAUGGCUGUUUCCGAGAGACCCUCGGCUCAAUAGAAGCAUAAAAAGGGGGUCAGAUAAGGUUAAAAGAUUUAAAACGAUAUUGCAAUGAAAUAAUGCAAGCGACACAGUAAAACAGGAUAAUCAAGGAAUUCAAAGCGAUAUGGAAAUGCAAAUCACGAAAGCGGCACAGAUAAAAUAGAGUAAUCAAAGUACAGAAAGUAGCAAAUAAUAACAUAAAUCAAACCACAAGAAAUUAUAAUGCGCUAAUGCGCCUACUAAUAAGGAAAGAUAACGAGACUUAUAUUGUUAUACCCCGUACAUUUAUAUGACGAAUUAUCCGCAAGAAAAUCGACUCAAGUUAAAGGCGGAAUUAUUUUCGGAUACGAAAUAGAAAUCGUUAAUUUUCAAUUUUAAUUAAAACAUAAAUUGUGUAUGAAUUUUAUUGGUACAAAGAUAUUAUUGGAGAUUAGGGGUAAAUUAACUAUGAUUAGAUUAUUAAGUGGGAUUAAAAUUUAAAUCACUUCAUUAAUUAAUUAAGCUUAAGGGGCCAUGUGGGCCCCACCCGAAAAAAAAAAAAAAAAAGGAAUCAAAAUCUGGAAAUUAACAAAACAAGGUGCAAAAGUGAGUCAUCAAAAGGGGGAAUACGUGUAGCAAUAUGGGAUAUAUAUAUAUUUAAUGGGAUGUAGUGCAAAUGACCAUUUUCAAGUCAUUUGUUGGUACACAAAGCUCAAGAGCAAGAAAAAAAAAUGCCCAUGGCUGCUCACGGCUAGAUUGGGGCUUAAAAAAAAAAAUAAAAAAAAAAUCAGUUUUGUUGCUUAGUAAAAAUUCUAAGGAGAAGACAAGGAGAUAGAGGUGGAGAAGCAAGAACAAGUAUAAAGAUUUAAGACACAAAUUGGAGCCAAGUAUCCAAGGCGAAAAGAGCAACGAGGCAAAAGGGAUUCACGGAUAAUCGUCGACAGGUACCGACGACAGGUUUGCUGAUCCGUCCGUCUAGGAUAUUUUUCUGCCAUUUGGAGCGCUCUUUUAUUCAGAGCCCAUCUUUUGUGAUGCCUCCGAAAAAGGCGACGGCCGCCCAGAAGAAAAAGGGCGUGGUAGGAGAGACCAGUCGGGCUCAGAAGGGUACUCGGACCCUUGCUCAGAUGAUGCGUGAUAUUGCGUCCCAGCCAGCAGACUCUACUACGUCUUCAUCAUCAGAGGAGUCUGGAGCACCAAUCGCUGCCACUAGGGGUCGGGGGGCGGCUACACCAUUAGCUCCAGAGGCUCCAACGGCCGCGCCUCCAGUUCCCCAGCCAGGGGCAGAUGAUGGUACCCUGCGAGAGGCAGUUCAGCUAUUGACUCGACUAGUAGCGGGGCAGGCUCGCAGACGCGGGCGGAGGGAUGAUGAUGAUGAUGACAGGCGUGACAGCCUGAGGGUUCGAGAGUUCCUAUUAUGUGCCCCCCCAGAGUUUUUUGGGUCUAAGCCCGACGAGGACCCCCAUGACUUUAUUCGGGGGAUGCGGCGCUCACUAGACUUGAUCAGGGCUUCAGAGACUGAGUCUGUUGAGUUGGCCUCGCACAGACUACGGGAUGUUGCUGCUCACUGGUAUGAGUCCUGGGAGCUAUCCAGGGGUGAGGGUGCUUCCCCAGCUACUUGGGACGAGUUCGUGGCUGCGUUUACCCGCCACUUUUUGCCCCCAGAGUUACGGCGGGCGCAGGUUGAUCGAUUUUUGCAUCUGCAGCAGAGGGGUCGGAGCGUUCGUGAGUAUAAUUUGGAGUUUGAUUCUCUGGCCCGGUAUGCACCUGCCAUAGUAGCAGACAUGGCCGAUCGGAUGCACAGAUACGUGAUGGGGUUAGACCGUUAUUUGAUUGAUGGCUGUAUGGCGGUGGCAUUGCAGACAGAUAUGGAUAUCGCCCGACUACAGGCCCAUGCUCUGGGUAUGGAGGACCGACACAUGGACGAUUAUUCCAGCAGAGAUCGGGACAGGAGGCCGCCCAAGAGGGCCAGGUCUGCAGGAUAUUCUGGAGAUUCCCGAGGCAGACAGCCUCAGCCGCAGCAGCAGUCUAGCUGGCAUUCUUCCCAGCCGGCACAGAGCACACCUCCGCAGUUCUCAGGCAGGAGAUUUGAUAGCCCAGGGUAUUUAGGAGCAGGCCAGAGCUCCGGGGUUUCAGGUUCGCGGGUAGACAGGAGUUCCGGUCAGACGAGGCCACCCAGGCUUCAGUGUUCUUACUGUGGGAGAUACCACCCUGGAGAGUGCUACCGUGCUACAGGUGCUUGUUAUUCUUGUGGCCGCCAGGGCCAUACUGUGAGAGAGUGCCCGUAUAAGGGUAAUUUGGGAGGUGCAGCGCAGCCUACCGGGUCAGUCGCUGGGUCAUCGUCUCCUUCGAUAGCCAAACGCCCUGCGGGGCAGGGUACGUCGACAUCAGCAGGCCGCGGCAGAGGUCGUGGCGGAGCUCCCAGUUCAAGCGGUCCUUCGAACCGCAUCUAUGCCUUGACUAGUCGACAGGACCCGGAGGCGCUACCAAACGCGGAUACAGGUAUACUAAUGUCUUUUUUCGAAAUAUAAGUGUAUUGACAGGUCUAGCCUCUACUUUGUGAUAUAUUUUCCCCAAAAUGCUUACAAGACCCUAUAAGAUUAAUUUGACAUUCGAGGACGAAUGUUCUAAAGGGGGGAGGAUGUUAUACCCCGUACAUUUAUAUGACGAAUUAUCCGCAAGAAAAUCGACUCAAGUUAAAGGCGGAAUUAUUUUCGGAUACGAAAUAGAAAUCGUUAAUUUUCAAUUUUAAUUAAAACAUAAAUUGUGUAUGAAUUUUAUUGGUACAAAGAUAUUAUUGGAGAUUAGGGGUAAAUUAACUAUGAUUAGAUUAUUAAGUGGGAUUAAAAUUUAAAUCACUUCAUUAAUUAAUUAAGCUUAAGGGGCCAUGUGGGCCCCACCCGAAAAAAAAAAAAAAAGGAAUCAAAAUCUGGAAAUUAACAAAACAAGGUGCAAAAGUGAGUCAUCAAAAGGGGGAAUACGUGUAGCAAUAUGGGAUAUAUAUAUAUUUAAUGGGAUGUAGUGCAAAUGACCAUUUUCAAGUCAUUUGUUGGUACACAAAGCUCAAGAGCAAGAAAAAAAAAUGCCCAUGGCUGCUCACGGCUAGAUUGGGGCUUAAAAAAAAAAAAAAAAAAAAUCAGUUUUGUUGCUUAGUAAAAAUUCUAAGGAGAAGACAAGGAGAUAGAGGUGGAGAAGCAAGAACAAGUAUAAAGAUUUAAGACACAAAUUGGAGCCAAGUAUCCAAGGCGAAAAGAGCAACGAGGCAAAAGGGAUUCACGGAUAAUCGUCGACAGGUACCGACGACAGGUUUGCUGAUCCGUCCGUCUAGGAUAUUUUUCUGCCAUUUGGAGCGCUCUUUUAUUCAGAGCCCAUCUUUUGGUACAGUCUGUCACUACUGUAUUUAUAUAUUCUCGUUCAUGGGUACGGCGGGGCCCUGUCCCGUCAUAUGAUUCUGUCGGUCUGUUUAGAGGUCUGUAGACAUGUUUGUGGGUUGGGGUCUUUCUAUACGGAUGCGUGUAUAUGUUGUGUUUGGGCGAUCCCAUUCACCGCGGCGGCCGGUCCGCAUAUGUUUAAAUGUUGCUUUGUUGGCCCUGGGUGGUCAUUGUUGGUAUUAUCUGUGCGCAGGGUUAAUUUGGAUAGUCUGUAAAACAAAGGAAACUCUGCCGAAAUUUUUCUGGAAAUUAUCUAAAUUUGAAAUAUAGCCUUGUCGGCUUCUGCUAUAUACUUGAAUGCGUUUGAUAAAAAUUUGAGAUAGCAUUUGAUAGAUGUGUUUGGGUGCCCAGAUCGGGCACUAGUCACGGCCUAUGGGGUUGGGUCGUGACAUAUAUACUAGCCUUCUACCCUAAUGUGAGUCCUCCACACCUUCCUAUCUAAGGUCAUGUCCUCGGUAAGCCGUAACUGCGUCAUGUCCUGUCUAAUCACCUCUCCCCAAUAUUUCUUUGGCCUACCCCUACCUCUUCUGAAACCAUCCAUGGCUAACCUCUCACACCUCCGCACUGGGGCAUCUAUGUCUCUCCUCUUCACAUGCCCAAACCAUCUCAGUCGCAUUUCCCGCAUCUUGUCUUCCACCGAGGCCACUCCCACCUUAUCCCGAAUAGCCUCAUUUCUAAUCCUGUCGCUCCUAGUGUGCCCACACAUCCAUCUCAACAUUCUCAUCUCGGCAACUUUCAUCUUUUGAACGUGAGAGAUCUUAACUGGCCAACACUCCGCCCCAUACAACAUAGCCGGUCUAACCACCACUCUGUAGAACUUGCCCUUCAGUUGUGGUGGCACCUUCUUGUCACAUAGCACUCCUGAAGCUAGCCUCCAUUUCAUCCACCCUACCCCAAUACGAUGUGUGACAUCAUCGUCAAUCUCCCCGCUGCCUUGCAUGAUAGACCCAAGGUACUUGAAACUACUUUUCUUUUGGAUGGCCUAAGCACCAAGCCUAACUUCCACGCCAACCUCCUGGGGUGUCUCACUGAACUUAUACUCUAAGUACUCUGUCUUGGUCCUACUCAGCUUAAAUCCUUUAGACUCCAAGGUAUGUCUCCAAUCCUCCAUCUUAGCGUUAACUCCGCUACGAGUCUCAUCGAUCAGGACUAUGUCGUCCGCGAAAAGCAUACACCAUGGCACCUCACCUUGAAUUUGUCGCGUCA
Molecule: RNA transcript, 4883 nt
Organism: Lycium barbarum (goji berry)
Lineage: Eukaryota; Viridiplantae; Streptophyta; Magnoliopsida; Solanales; Solanaceae
Exons: 6
Source: RefSeq, a predicted model, not a curated record